This 92-nucleotide microRNA precursor is filed under the name Canis lupus familiaris (dog). Its description in RNAcentral is "mir-8799 microRNA precursor family". It matches the Rfam family "mir-8799 microRNA precursor family". The record is from Rfam by way of RNAcentral. Lineage: Eukaryota; Metazoa; Chordata; Mammalia; Carnivora; Canidae. RNAcentral also lists the same sequence under 1 other name.
GGGGGGAGUGCCGGAUCUUGGGCUGUGUCUCCAGCGCCCUGUGCUCCCGAGCCUGGGCUGUUGGAAUCAUGCUCCUGUCUGCGCAGCUCUCU